AGAGGGUGCGAACGUUGCUCGGAUUUACUGGGCGUAAGCGCGUGUAGGCGGACUCGCAAGUCGGUUGUGAAAUCCCUGGGGCUCAACCUAGGAACUGCAUCCGAAACUGCUUGUCUUGAGUAAUGGAGAGGGUGGCGGAAUUCCCGGUGUAGAGGUGAAAUUCGUAGAUAUCGGGAGGAACAUCAGUGGCGAAGGCGGCCACCUGGACAUUUACUGACGCUGAGACGCGAAAGCGUGGGGAGCAAACAGGAUUAGAUACCCUGGUAGUCCACGCCGUAAACGAUGAGCACUAGGUGCAGCGGAUAUUGACCUCUGCUGUGCCGUAGCUAACGCGUUAAGUGCUCCGCCUGGGGAGUACGGCCGCAAGGCUA
Molecule: ribosomal RNA, 371 nt
Filed under: uncultured organism
Description: partial 16S ribosomal RNA
Rfam family: Bacterial small subunit ribosomal RNA
Source: RNAcentral